GGUGCUAAAAAUAAGUCAGUGGAAGAAAACGGGGCCUAUGUAUCUGUGAACCUCUGUAAACCUUUUGAUCAUGAUAUAUCUGCCAUUAAUCUAUUGUCCCAAUCAUUCUGCUACAAUCAUGUUUGAACCUUGUGUAUGUGUUAUCGUAAAUCUGCUGUCCCAAUCCUUGAACUUUGUUGUAUUUUGGCAAAAUGUUGAAAAAAAUAUUGUAUGGAUGUGUUAUCAUCAUGAUGUAUAAAUGCUGAAAAAAUGGUGUAUAAAUGUGUUAUCAUUCUGCUGUAUAAAUGCUAUAAAAAAUGUUGUACAAAUGUUGAAAUGUUGAAAAAAAAUGAUGACUCACUUAACGCUCCUGCACGGGCAGCCCAGUGCAUGUGCUCUUGAACGAGCAGCAGCGUGCAUGCGCUCCUGAGCGGCAGCCCAAUGCAAAAGCGUCUUGCUGAU
This 441-nucleotide long non-coding RNA is filed under the name Setaria viridis. RNAcentral's name for it is "long non-coding RNA (SVIR_LNC000557)". Lineage: Eukaryota; Viridiplantae; Streptophyta; Magnoliopsida; Poales; Poaceae. The record is from RNAcentral.